Molecule: ribosomal RNA, 774 nt
Filed under: uncultured bacterium
Lineage: Bacteria
Description: bacterial SSU rRNA
Rfam family: Bacterial small subunit ribosomal RNA
Source: RNAcentral
AGAGUUUGAUCCUGGCUCAGGACGAACGCUGGCGGCGUGCUUAACACAUGCAAGUCGAACGAUGAACUCCAGCUUGCUGGGGGGAUUAGUGGCGAACGGGUGAGUAACACGUGAGUAACCUGCCCCUGACUCUGGGAUAAGCGCUGGAAACGGCGUCUAAUACCGGAUAUGACAAUCGACGGCAUCGUCUGGUUGUGGAAAGAAUUUCGGUUGGGGAUGGACUCGCGGCCUAUCAGGUUGUUGGUGAGGUAAUGGCUCACCAAGCCUACGACGGGUAGCCGGCCUGAGAGGGUGACCGGCCACACUGGGACUGAGACACGGCCCAGACUCCUACGGGAGGCAGCAGUGGGGAAUAUUGCACAAUGGGCGCAAGCCUGAUGCAGCAACGCCGCGUGAGGGACGACGGCCUUCGGGUUGUAAACCUCUUUUAGUAGGGAAGAAGCGAAAGUGACGGUACCUGCAGAAAAAGCACCGGCUAACUACGUGCCAGCAGCCGCGGUAAUACGUAGGGUGCAAGCGUUGUCCGGAAUUAUUGGGCGUAAAGAGCUCGUAGGCGGUUUGUCGCGUCUGCUGUGAAAACCGGAGGCUCAACCUCCGGCCUGCAGUGGGUACGGGCAGACUAGAGUGCGGUAGGGGAGAUUGGAAUUCCUGGUGUAGCGGUGGAAUGCGCGAUAUCAGGAGGAACACCGAUGGCGAAGGCAGAUCUCUGGGCCGUAACUGACGCUGAGGAGCGAAAGCAUGGGGAGCGAACAGGAUUAGAUACCCUAGUAGUCC